ACCUAAUAGAUACCCGGGUAGUCCACGCCCUAAACGAUGCGAACUGGAUGUUGGGUACAUUACGGUACUCAGUGUCGAAAGCUAAACGCGUUAAGUUCGCCGCCUGGGGAGUACGGUCGCAAGACUGAAACUCAAAGGAAUUGACGGGGGCCCGCACAAGCGGUGGAGUAUGUGGUUUAAUUCGAUGCAACGCGAAGAACCUUACCUGGCCUUGACAUCUGUCGAAUCCUGCAGAGAUGCGGGAGUGCCGCAAGGAACGACAAGACAGGUGCUGCAUGGCUGUCGUCAGCUCGUGUCGUGAGAUGUUGGGUUAAGUCCCGCAACGAGCGCAACCCUUGUCCCUAGUUGCCAGCACGUAAUGGUGGGAACUCUAGGGAGACUGCCGGUGACAAA
RNAcentral lists this ribosomal RNA (393 nucleotides) under uncultured bacterium. RNAcentral describes it as "bacterial SSU rRNA". It matches the Rfam family "Bacterial small subunit ribosomal RNA", at positions 772 to 1162 of the family's 1533-position model. The record is from RNAcentral.